UUAAAGCUAAUCUGAGCAGGGUUAGCCGGCCCCUAAGACGAGGCGGAAACGCGUAGUCGAUGGGAACCACGUUAAUAUUCGUGGGCUUGGAGGUAGUGACGGAUCAUUGAGGUAGUCCAAUCUUAUCGGAUUGAACGGGCUGCUGCGUGGUUCCAGGAAAUAGCUCCUCCUUAUAAACCGUACCCGAAACCGACACUGGUGGUCUGGUAGAGUAUACCAAGGCGCUUGAGAGAACUAUGCUGAAGGAACUCGGCAAAUUGCACGCGUAACUUCGGAAGAAGCGUGACCCUUUUCUACGCAAGUAGAGGAGGGUGGCACAGACCAGGGGGUAGCGACUGUUUAUCAAAAACACAGGGCUCUGCGAAGUCGCAAGACGACGUAUAGGGUCUGACGCCUGCCCGGUGCUGGAAGGAUAAGAGGAGGGGUGCAAGCUCUGAAUCGAAGCCCCAGUAAACGGCGGCCGUAACAAUAACGGUCCUAAGGUAGCGAAAUUCCUUGUCGGGUAAGUUCCGACCUGCACGAAUGGCGUAACGACUUCCCCGCUGUCUCCAGCAUAGACUCAGUGAAAUUGAAUUCCCCGUGAAGAUGCGGGGUUCCUGCGGUUAGACGGAAAGACCCCGUGCACCUUUACUAUAGCUUUACAUUGGCAUUCGUAGUGGCAUGUGUAGGAUAGGUGGUAGGCUUUGAAACCUGGGCGCCAGCUCAGGUGGAGCCACCCUUGAAAUACCACCCUUAUUACUAUGGAUGUCUAACCGCGGCCCGUUAUCCGGGUCCGGGACAAUGUAUGGUGGGUAGUUUGACUGGGGCGGUCGCCUCCUAAAGAGUAACGGAGGCGCGCGAUGGUGGGCUCAGAACGGUCGGAAAUCUUUCGCUGAGUGCAAUGGCAUAAGCCUGCCUGACUGCGAGACUGACAAGUCGAGCAGAGACGAAAGUCGGUCAUAGUGAUCCGGUGGUCCCGCGUGGAAGGGCCAUCGCUCAACGGAUAAAAGGUACGCCGGGGAUAACAGGCUGAUGACCCCCAAGAGUCCAUAUCGACGGGGUUGUUUGGCACCUCGAUGUCGACUCAUCGCAUCCUGGGGCUGGAGCAGGUCCCAAGGGUAUGGCUGUUCGCCAUUUAAAGCGGUACGUGAGUUGGGUUCAGAACGUCGUGAGACAGUUCGGUCCCUAUCUGCCGUGGGUGUAGGAAUAUUGAAAGGAUCUGUCCCUAGUACGAGAGGACCGGGAUGGACGGAUCUCUGGUGGACCUGUUGUGGCGCCAGCCGCAUAGCAGGGUAGCUAUAUCCGGACGGGAUAACCGCUGAAGGCAUCUAAGCGGGAAACCCACCUUAAAACGAGUAUUCCCUGAGAACCGUGGAAGACGACCACUUUGAUAGGCCGGGUGUGGAAGAGCGGCAACGCUUGAAGCUUACCGGUACUAAUAGUUC
RNAcentral lists this ribosomal RNA (1424 nucleotides) under metagenome. RNAcentral's name for it is "bacterial LSU rRNA". It matches the Rfam family "Bacterial large subunit ribosomal RNA", at positions 1359 to 2910 of the family's 2925-position model. The record is from RNAcentral.